CCUACGGGGUGCAGCAGUGAGGAAUAUUGGUCAAUGGGCGGAAGCCUGAACCAGCCAAGUAGCGUGCGGGAUGAAGGCCCUACGGGUCGUAAACCGCUUUUGCACGGGGAUAACACCCUCCACUUGUGGAGGUCUGCAGGUACCGUGCGAAUAAGGGCCGGCUAAUUCCGUGCCAGCAGCCGCGGUAAUACGGAAGGCCCGAGCGUUAUCCGGAUUUAUUGGGUUUAAAGGGUGCGUAGGCGGGAUGCCAAGUCAGCGGUAAAAAUGCGUUGCUCAACGCCGUCGAGCCGUUGAAACUGGCGUUCUUGAGUGGGCGAGAAGUAUGCGGAAUGCGUGGUGUAGCGGUGAAAUGCAUGGAUAUCACGCAGAACUCCGAUUGCGAAGGCAGCAUACCGGCGCCCUACUGACGCUGAGGCACGAAAGCGUGGGUAUCGAACAGGAUUAGAUACCCGUGUAGUC
Molecule: ribosomal RNA, 459 nt
Filed under: uncultured bacterium
Lineage: Bacteria
Description: partial 16S ribosomal RNA
Rfam family: Bacterial small subunit ribosomal RNA
Source: RNAcentral